This 494-nucleotide ribosomal RNA is filed under the name uncultured bacterium. RNAcentral describes it as "partial 16S ribosomal RNA". It matches the Rfam family "Bacterial small subunit ribosomal RNA", at positions 28 to 506 of the family's 1533-position model. The record is from RNAcentral.
GACGAACGCUGGCGGCGUGCCUAAUACAUGCAAGUCGAACGCUGAAGGAGGAGCUUGCUUCUCUGGAUGAGUUGCGAACGGGUGAGUAACGCGUAGGUAACCUGCCUGGUAGCGGGGGAUAACUAUUGGAAACGAUAGCUAAUACCGCAUAACAGUAGAUAUCGCAUGAUAUCUACUUGAAAGGUGCAAUUGUAUCACUACCAGAUGGACCUGCGUUGUAUUAGCUAGUUGGUGAGGUAACGGCUCACCAAGGCGACGAUACAUAGCCGACCUGAGAGGGGGAUCGGCCACACUGGGACUGAGACACGGCCCAGACUCCUACGGGAGGCAGCAGUAGGGAAUCUUCGGCAAUGGACGGAAGUCUGACCGAGCAACGCCGCGUGAGUGAAGAAGGUUUUCGGAUCGUAAAGCUCUGUUGUAAGAGAAGAACGAGUGUGAGAGUGGAAAGUUCACACUGUGACGGUAUCUUACCAGAAAGGGACGGCUAACUACGU